CCCGGAUCAAUGGUUUGACGAUAAAAAAACUGUCUUUCUUUACUGGCUUUUAAAUUAUCUUAAGAGUGAAGAGACUCUUUUGUUAUAGCGGGACGAGAAGACCCCGUUGAGCUUUAACGAGUAUUAUUAGUUUUAUAAUUACUGGUUUUAGUUGGGGCAACUAUUUCUCUUUAUUAAACAGAAAUAAAACUAUCUCGAAUUGAAUCAAUUAUGACCCCUAAUUAUUAGGAGAAAUAAAAUAAGUUACCACGGGGAUAACAGCGUAAUUUUUUUUGAGAGUUCUUAUUGACAAAAAAGUUUGCGACCUCGAUGUUGGAUCAUAGUCUCCUAGGGGUGCAGCAGCUCCUAAGGGUUGGUUUGUUCAACCAUUAAAACUAUACGUGAUCUGAGUUC
This 393-nucleotide ribosomal RNA is filed under the name Ophiothela mirabilis. RNAcentral's name for it is "partial large subunit ribosomal RNA". It matches the Rfam family "Bacterial large subunit ribosomal RNA", at positions 1987 to 2612 of the family's 2925-position model. The record is from RNAcentral. Lineage: Eukaryota; Metazoa; Echinodermata; Ophiuroidea; Amphilepidida; Ophiotrichidae.